UAGUGAACCAGUACCGUGAGGGAAAGGUGAAAAGCACCCCGGAAGGGGAGUGAAAGAGAACUUGAAACCGUGUGCUUACAAGUAGUCAGAGCCCGUUAAUGGGUGAUGGCGUGCCUUUUGUAGAAUGAACCGGCGAGUUACGAUCUGAUGCAAGGUUAAGCAGCAAAUGUGGAGCCGCAGCGAAAGCGAGUCUGAAUAGGGCGUUGAGUAUUUGGUCGUAGACCCGAAACCAGGUGAUCUACCCUUGGUCAGGUUGAAGUUCAGGUAACACUGAAUGGAGGACCGAACCGACUUACGUUGAAAAGUGAGCGGAUGAACUGAGGGUAGCGGAGAAAUUCCAAUCGAACUUGGAGAUAGCUGGUUCUCUCCGAAAUAGCUUUAGGGCUAGCCUCAAGUGAUGAUUAUUGGAGGUAGAGCACUGUUUGGACGAGGGGCCCCUCUCGGGUUACCGAAUUCAGACAAACUCCGAAUGCCAAUUAAUUUAACUUGGGAGUCAGAACAUGGGUGAUAAGGUCCGUGUUCGAAAGGGAAACAGCCCAGACCACCAGCUAAGGUCCCAAAAUAUAUGUUAAGUGGAAAAGGAUGUGGGGUUGCACAGACAACUAGGAUGUUGGCUUAGAAGCAGCCACCAUUUAAAGAGUGCGUAAUAGCUCACUAGUCGAGUGACACUGCGCCGAAAAUGUACCGGGGCUAAACAUAUUACCGAAGCUGUGGAUUGUCCUUUGGACAAUGGUAGGAGAGCGUUCUAAGGGCGUCGAAGCAUGAUCGCAAGGACAUGUGGAGCGCUUAGAAGUGAGAAUGCCGGUGUGAGUAGCGAAAGACGGGUGAGAAUCCCGUCCACCGAUUGACUAAGGUUUCCAGAGGAAGGCUCGUCCGCUCUGGGUUAGUCGGGUCCUAAGCUGAGGCCGACAGGCGUAGGCGAUGGAUAACAGGUUGAUAUUCCUGUACCACCUAGUAUCGUUUUAAUCGAUGGGGGGACGCAGUAGGAUAGGCGAAGCGUGCUGUUGGAGUGCACGUCCAAGCAGUAAGGCUGAGUGUUAGGCAAAUCCGGCACUCAUAAGGCUGAGCUGUGAUGGGGAGAGGAAAUUGUUUCCUCGAGUCGUUGAUUUCACACUGCCGAGAAAAGCCUCUAGAUAGAUAACAGGUGCCCGUACCGCAAACCGACACAGGUAGUCAAGAUGAGAAUUCUAAGGUGAGCGAGCGAACUCUCGUUAAGGAACUCGGCAAAAUGACCCCGUAACUUCGGGAGAAGGGGUGCUGACUUCGGUCAGCCGCAGUGAAUAGGCCCAAGCGACUGUUUAUCAAAAACACAGGUCUCUGCAAAAUCGUAAGAUGAAGUAUAGGGGCUGACGCCUGCCCGGUGCUGGAAGGUUAAGAGGAUGGGUUAGCUUCGGCGAAGCUCAGAAUUGAAGCCCCAGUAAACGGCGGCCGUAACUAUAACGGUCCUAAGGUAGCGAAAUUCCUUGUCGGGUAAGUUCCGACCCGCACGAAAGGCGUAACGAUUUGGGCACUGUCUCAACGAGAGACUCGGUGAAAUCAUAGUACCUGUGAAGAUGCAGGUUACCCGCGACAGGACGGAAAGACCCCGUGGAGCUUUACUGUAGCCUGAUAUUGAAAUUCGGCACAGCUUGUACAGGAUAGGUAGGAGCCUUUGAAACGUGAGCGCUAGCUUACGUGGAGGCGUUGGUGGGAUACUACCCUAGCUGUGUUGGCUUUCUAACCCGCACCACUUAUCGUGGUGGGAGACAGUGUCAGGCGGGCAGUUUGACUGGGGCGGUCGCCUCCUAAAAGGUAACGGAGGCGCUCAAAGGUUCCCUCAGAAUGGUUGGAAAUCAUUCGAAGAGUGUAAAGGCAGAAGGGAGCUUGACUGCGAGACCUACAAGUCGAGCAGGGACGAAAGUCGGGCUUAGUGAUCCGGUGGUUCCGCAUGGAAGGGCCAUCGCUCAACGGAUAAAAGCUACCCUGGGGAUAACAGGCUUAUCUCCCCCAAGAGUCCACAUCGACGGGGAGGUUUGGCACCUCGAUGUCGGCUCGUCGCAUCCUGGGGCUGUAGUCGGUCCCAAGGGUUGGGCUGUUCGCCCAUUAAAGCGGUACGCGAGCUGGGUUCAGAACGUCGUGAGACAGUUCGGUCCCUAUCCGUCGUGGGCGUAGGAAAUUUGAGAGGAGCUGUCCUUAGUACGAGAGGACCGGGAUGGACAUACCUCUGGUGUACCAGUUGUCGUGCCAACGGCAUAGCUGGGUAGCUAUGUAUGGACGGGAUAAGUGCUGAAAGCAUCUAAGCAUGAAGCCCCCCUCAAGAUGAGAUUUCCCAACUUCGGUUAUAAGAUCCCUCGAAGAUGACGAGGUUAAUAGGUUCGAGGUGGAAGCGUGGUGACACGUGGAGCUGACGAAUACUAAUCGAUCGAAGACUUAAUC
Molecule: ribosomal RNA, 2415 nt
Filed under: human gut metagenome
Description: bacterial LSU rRNA
Rfam family: Bacterial large subunit ribosomal RNA
Source: RNAcentral